UUCUACUUUGAAUAUAUCGAAAAAAAUAUUUCACAAUUAAAUUAGGGAAAGAAAGAGAACCAUUAGUCUGUUCUUAGAAUCUUGUUGAAAAUAUUAUUUCGUCUAAUCUAUUAUUUUCUUCUUUAUUUAUUCAUUCGCAAUUUAUUGACCGGUGAUUUUCAAUCAAUUUCCAGCUGGUAAUUAAGUUAAUACUCUUCUUAGUAUCCUACGAUAGUUACUGCGUACGUUCAUUGUUACGCUAAACGAAAGACGGUUGAGAAUAAAAUGGUACUCGGCUCAGAGUUGUAAGGCCGGAUCCGCUUGAAAAGGAAACGCUGAAAAGGGUGAGCUUAGAAAAGGUUGUUAUGCUCUGCUUUAUCUUGCCCAGGAUGAUCCCAAAAAAUCGAUUCAACGGUUAUUUCUUCGAAUCGCACCCUUGUACAACUGCGUUGCUCGGAAUCCCGUUCGACUUGUUUUUUUCUUCUUGGUAAAGGUAGGUCAUUUUAUCAAAGGGGAACGUGAUAAAAAAAAAGAAGAGUUGGAUAUAAUUUACAAUUCAUCGUAAGCAAAUGAAGAACAAUAAUAAAAGAAAUUUAUACUCCUGUUACAGUGUACUUUACCAUCAGUGUUAUCUAUCUCAAACCAGACGUCAACCGGAAAUAUUGGUCAUAGUGUUAGCAUUUCAUCGAUAGUGUUGCCCAAGUAACCGCAUGCAGAUCAAUUUCCUUGGUGCAUGAUCCAUUGAUCUCGAUCAAAUGGAAUAUAUUAAUGAAUGCAUCGGAUAACGGUUACGAUCAAUAACUAUCCUACGGUCUAAGACACUUUAUCGUCAAAUCUUCCAGAGCUCCGAAAAUUCCUCCGCAGUUCCUUAGGAAACAGAAUCCAUCAAGUUAAUUAUUUCAAAUUGAUCGAGUUUAAUCUACUUCCUAAUAUUCCACAUAAAUGCAAAAUUUUCUAUUCAAUGAUGUAUUCAAUGGAAAACAUAACGUAUUGGAUAUUUAUAUAUGGUUAGAUACUAAUUACAUUUUCUCUAAUACCCCUGAGCAAGAACCAUGAUUAGAGCUAAAAGAAAAUAUUCAAUCACUGGUGGCUUGAUGAAAUUGUUAAAAAUAGUUGCCAUCGGUUACUGGUGUUUGAUGGACGGUUUUACGAGUCCAUGAAUGGGUGAUGCGUAUCGUAUUUUUGAAGGUAAAACGGCACGUGAAAGGAGUAGAAUAAUAGUUUGGCAAUCGUUCAAGUAUUUAUAAGAAUUCAUCAAGAACAUAGAAUUUGUGAACACGUGUACGGCUCGCGACAAGAAUCGUCUAUCACGAAGCCAAUAUCUUUCCAACUUAUGUUUUAUGUUACAGGUAUGACGAAGCGGAGAAUCGGGGAAAGAGAAACGAUCGGUUAAACGUUACAUCGAGCUAAAAUUGUGAAUUAAAGUUACGAAGAAAUUAGAUUCCUGUAACUUCGGGGAAGGAAGACUCUAAUCCGUAAGAGAGUAAAUACAUAUUAGAAGAAUUUCGAAGGUCACCUGUAACAAUGAUCCAUAGAGAAGAGUUUUAUUAAGCGCUAGAACGAUGACGAGCGAAGCAUAACUGUCGACGAAUGAUCAUGUAAUGUGUAUAACGUAAUGUUAUAACAGUAAUAAAGUGCGUGUGCACUGGUAGUAUAUCUGUAAUAGGUGUUGGCCAUUUCAACAUCAUGGCCAUCCAGAUACUUCCAGACGUCCGUAGGAUUAUUCUUAUUCAUUGUUUUCAUCCGUUAUAGAGACUUGAGAUGCUUGCCAUGUUUCUGCAAUUAUAUAAUAUACUAUAUAAUUCGUUCCUUAUAAUUCAUUAACGCGAGUCAUCACAGGAAUGCUAUUGAUCAGACGUCAGCUUGUUACCGAGGAAAGUUUCACAAUCGCAGAAUUAAAUUAUUCUAAGACACUGUUUGACAUAAAACGCUUCUAAAUAUUUUGAAUAUUCCAAAUCUUCCGUAUAGCAUAUCUGAUUCGCGUAAACAUCGUUGGAAUAGGUCAUCUUGGAUUAUUACUGCGAAAUAUAUCAUCAUCUUGUUUGCAUUACAUUUCAACAUAUUUUGAUACCAUUCACUGUACAGUUUAUUUUCUAGGCAACUAUCCAAGGUAAACGAAAUAAUCUUUCACGAGCCACCAACGAACUAGAUAUUAUUGGCGAGCUCGUUAUUUCAACGACGUCGACGUGCCCGGUGAUCAGUAAUUUUUUUCGUUUCAUCGUCCAUCGAUUCCAGGUCGAAACGAGUCUGAUAGUACAUAGCCGCUUUGACGAAUAUUGCAGAAGACUAUUUUUACUUUGAUCCUUGAAAAUUUCUUCGAAGUACUAGCUUAAAAAUCAAAGACCAAGAACAAUUUCCAAAGUAUAACCGAACGCGGUCUUACGCGAUACUCAUUUCAAAUUGCAAUAUUGAAAAGUUAAUCAAAUGGAGAAAUAAUGAUUGGGAAGAAUCAAAUGUGUCUCAGGUAACCGGACGUUACAUUGGCAUGCAGACUACUAGACUAAGAAGAGGGUCAGAAUUACAGAUUUAUGCUAAUUGGUAACUUAUUAAUAUUGCUGAUAUCAUUUACUCGCAGUUGACCAGCGGGUACUGCGCCAUUUUCAGCGCUUAGAAGCACUUAACGUACGUAUCGAAAUUUUUCCGUUUUCCUGCUUGUGUCAAUGAUUAGCACAUUGCGAAACGAUAAUUCCUCUUCAAGACAUCCGAGGAAUCUAAAUAACAAGUGAAGACGCGCUAAGAAUCGUCGUGUUAUUUUCCUUCCGACGUGUUUCACAACGCCUGUCUUCAUCUUAGAGUAAAUAUUGCAUCUCUGUAACCUUCGAAAGAUGCAAACCACAAAACUUUCGUAGGUCCUUCUCUCGACAUCUGUGGCCGUAGUACUUAGAUCUUAAUCGAUGCGUCCGUGAAUUUAACGCAUAAACCUUUCACCAAAACGUCACGAUCUCGUGACCCUUUUGCAUCCGUGGUAUCCACAGUUACAUCAGUUUUCUUUCUUCGUGUACCGGCUCGUGCGAACGUUAUAACUCGUUGAGGCACGAAAUAUUCACGGUCACAAUCAACUGCAGCCUUCGUCGGGACGAGCUUUCACUUCAAGUUGCAUCAAUGAAACGAUAAGUUUUUUCUGCGAGGAUCAUAAGAAGGAAAUAAUAAUCACAAGAAGGGAACGUAACAAAAAUUCGAACUUGAUCCAGUGCAUCGACAAACGGUCUUAUGCAACGCGCUAGAAAUAAAGUUACAUGAAAGGUUCGACGCUGUAAAUCGUAAACAGCGCAGAUGGCUAAUGUAGCGCCAUGUAUGCGAACAGAAGAUAAAUUGCUCGAGCACAAUAAAGAUAAAUUUUGCUAUACGUGA
This is a long non-coding RNA of Bombus huntii, 3330 nucleotides long. RefSeq lists it as uncharacterized. The transcript is spliced from 4 exons. The record is from RefSeq and is a predicted model, not a curated record. NCBI's taxonomy places the organism in Eukaryota, Metazoa, Arthropoda, Insecta, Hymenoptera, Apidae.